This 372-nucleotide ribosomal RNA is filed under the name Chlorodiella sp. 1 RML-2022a. RNAcentral's name for it is "partial 12S ribosomal RNA". The record is from RNAcentral. Lineage: Eukaryota; Metazoa; Arthropoda; Malacostraca; Decapoda; Xanthidae.
UACUAUACUGAUAAAUAUAUAUAUAUAUAUAAAAUUCUUAGACUAUUAAUAGAUAUAUUCUUUAAAUUCGAAGAAUUUGGCGGUGGUUUAGUCUUGUUAGAGGAACCUGUUUUUGAAUCGAUACACCACGUUAAAAUUUUACUUGUUUUAUUUAGUUUGUAUACCGUCAUUAUCAGAUAAUUUUGAAAAGAUAAAUUAUUGAAAUUUACAAAAUGUAAAUUAAAUUAGAUCAAGGUGCAGCCUAUAAAUAAGCUAAAAUGGGUUACAAUAAAUUUUAUUUAUUAUGGAAUAAUAACAGUAAAUUAAAUUAUGAAGGUGGAUUUAAUUGUAAUUAAAGUUUAAUAAGCUAAAAAGAUAUAAGCUCUAAGCCAU